UUUUGUGGGGUGCUCGAGUGGCGAACGGGUGAGUAACACGUGAGUAACCUGCCCUUGACUUUGGGAUAGCUUCAGGAAACUGGGGCUAAUACCGGAUAUGACCUUUCUCCUUAUGGGGUUUGGUGGAAAGUUUUCGGUGUAGGAUGAGCCCGCGGCCUAUCAGCUUGUUGGUGGGGUGAUGGCCUACCAAGGCGACGACGGGUAGCCGGCCUGAGAGGGUGGACGGUCACACUGGGACUGAGACACGGCCCAG
RNAcentral lists this ribosomal RNA (253 nucleotides) under uncultured Actinomycetales bacterium. RNAcentral describes it as "partial 16S ribosomal RNA". It matches the Rfam family "Bacterial small subunit ribosomal RNA", at positions 78 to 334 of the family's 1533-position model. Lineage: Bacteria; Bacillati; Actinomycetota; Actinomycetes; Actinomycetales. The record is from RNAcentral.